AGUGAACGCUGGCGGUAGGCCUAACACAUGCAAGUCGAACGGCAGCACAGUAAGAGCUUGCUCUUACGGGUGGCGAGUGGCGGACGGGUGAGGAAUACAUCGGAAUCUACUUUUUCGUGGGGGAUAACGUAGGGAAACUUACGCUAAUACCGCAUACGACCUACGGGUGAAAGCAGGGGAUCUUCGGACCUUGCGCGAUUGAAUGAGCCGAUGUCGGAUUAGCUAGUUGGCGGGGUAAAGGCCCACCAAGGCGACGAUCCGUAGCUGGUCUGAGAGGAUGAACAGCCACACUGGAACUGAGACACGGUCCAGACUCCUACGGGAGGCAGCAGUGGGGAAUAUUGGACAAUGGGCGCAAGCCUGAUCCAGCCAUACCGCGUGGGUGAAGAAGGCCUUCGGGUUGUAAAGCCCUUUUGUUGGGAAAGAAAAGCAGCAGGUUAAUACCCCGCUGUCCUGACGGUACCCAAAGAAUAAGCACCGGCUAACUUCGUG
This 492-nucleotide ribosomal RNA is filed under the name uncultured bacterium. RNAcentral describes it as "partial 16S ribosomal RNA". It matches the Rfam family "Bacterial small subunit ribosomal RNA", at positions 29 to 507 of the family's 1533-position model. The record is from RNAcentral.